UGAAACCGUUCAGGAGUAUACCUGAGAAACCCAAAAGUUCGAAUGGGGAGAUUCAUCGUCAACGGUGCUGGCUCCCGUUGGUGCGCGAUGCCCCGACCCGAAGGGCCCUUGUGAUUCCACGGCGAGGGCACACCACCUUCGGCUCGAAUCGUCCGGUGCCGUAGUCGUGCACUUCUCCCCUAGUAAAACGUCGCGACCCGKCGUGUGUCGGUCUACGGCCUGAGAAGGCGCCUGUCGCGUCGCCUCGUGCGCACGCGGCAGAAGCUCGGUCGACCGGCCGGCUGCAUGACGGUACUCGCACGGUAUCGGGCCGCAACCAAACCAUUCUCGAAUGCAUUUGCGUCCGUGCCCGCCGCAAGCUCGGUCAGWUUCACCCGGAGGUACAGACCUGGUGCSGUUCCCGGGCCUGGCCAGCUGUUAGCAGAGCGGAGUCCUCGGACUGGACAAGCCUUGAAUUACCGGUCGGSGACGCUAUUGCUUUGGAUAUUCUCAGGACACGUCUUGAAACACGGACCAAGGAGUCUAACAUGUGCGCGAGUCAUUGGGAUUGAUUAAACCUAAAGGCGAAAUGAAAGUGAAAAUCGGCCUUCGCGCCGAUCGAGGGAGGAUGGGCCGCGUUACUAUGCGGCCCCGCACUCCCGGGGCGUCUCGCUCUCAUUGCGAGAAGAGGCGCACCUAGAGCGUACACGUUGGGACCCGAAAGAUGGUGAACUAUGCCUGGUCAGGACGAAGUCAGGGGAAACCCUGAUGGAGGUCCGUAGCGAUUCUGACGUGCAAAUCGAUCGUCGGAACUGGGUAUAGGGGCGAAAGACUAAUCGAACCAUCUAGUAGCUGGUUCCCUCCGAAGUUUCCCUCAGGAUAGCUGGCACUCGAUCGUUCCUCUGUGAACAUGUGCGAGUCUCAUCUGGUAAAGCGAAUGAUUAGAGGCCUUGGGGCCGAAACGACCUCAACCUAUUCUCAAACUUUAAAUGGGUGAGAUCUCUGGCUUGCUUGGAUCAUGAAGCCACGAGAUUUUGGAUCAGAGUGCCAAGUGGGCCAAUUUUGGUAAGCAGAACUGGCGCUGUGGGAUGAACCAAACGCAGAGUUAAGGCGCCUAAGUCGACGCUUAUGGGAUACCAUGAAAGGCGUUGGUUGCUUAAGACAGCAGGACGGUGGCCAUGGAAGUCGGAUCCGCUAA
Molecule: ribosomal RNA, 1177 nt
Filed under: Centris xanthomelaena
Lineage: Eukaryota; Metazoa; Arthropoda; Insecta; Hymenoptera; Apidae
Description: eukaryotic LSU rRNA
Rfam family: Eukaryotic large subunit ribosomal RNA
Source: RNAcentral